Molecule: non-coding RNA, 21 nt
Filed under: Caenorhabditis elegans
Lineage: Eukaryota; Metazoa; Nematoda; Chromadorea; Rhabditida; Rhabditidae
Source: RNAcentral
UCUAUCAUCAAUAUUUACCCG